Molecule: ribosomal RNA, 253 nt
Filed under: uncultured bacterium
Lineage: Bacteria
Description: partial 16S ribosomal RNA
Rfam family: Bacterial small subunit ribosomal RNA
Source: RNAcentral
AACGUAGGAGGCAAGCGUUAUCCGGAUUUACUGGGCGUAAAGCGUGCGCAGGCGGUUUUGUAAGCCCGAUGUGAAAUCCCCGGGCUUAACCUGGGAAUGGCAUUUGGGACUGCAAGGCUUGAGUUUGGCAGAGGAGACUGGAAUUCCUGGUGUAGCAGUGAAAUGCGUAGAUAUCAGGAGGAAUACCGAUGGCGAAGGCAGGUCUCUGGGCUGAAACUGACGCUCAUGCACGAAAGCGUGGGGAGCAAACAGG